GUGGGGAAUCUUGCGCAAUGGGCGAAAGCCUGACGCAGCCAUGCCGCGUGAAUGAUGAAGGUCUUAGGAUUGAAAAAUUCUUUCACCGGGGACGAUAAUGACGGUACCCGGAGAAGAAGCUCCGGCUAACUUCGUGCCAGCAGCCGCGGUAAUACGAAGGGGGCUAGCGUUGCUCGGAAUUACUGGGCGUAAAGGGCGCGUAGGCGGACAGCUUAGUCAGAGGUGAAAGCCCAGGGCUCAACCUUGGAAUUGCCUUUGAUACUGGCUGUCUUGAGUUUGGGAGAGGUGAGUGGAACUCCGAGUGUAGAGGUGAAAUUCGUAGAUAUUCGGAAGAACACCAGUGGCGAAGGCGACUCACUGGCCCAAUACUGACGCUGAGGCGCGAAAGCGUGGGGAGCAAACAGGAUUAGAAACCCCAGUAGUCC
RNAcentral lists this ribosomal RNA (425 nucleotides) under uncultured bacterium. RNAcentral's name for it is "partial 16S ribosomal RNA". It matches the Rfam family "Bacterial small subunit ribosomal RNA", at positions 354 to 796 of the family's 1533-position model. The record is from RNAcentral.